RNAcentral lists this transfer RNA (56 nucleotides) under Camelus bactrianus (Bactrian camel). It matches the Rfam family "tRNA", at positions 9 to 63 of the family's 71-position model. Rfam says of the family: Transfer RNA (tRNA) molecules are approximately 80 nucleotides in length. Lineage: Eukaryota; Metazoa; Chordata; Mammalia; Artiodactyla; Camelidae. RNAcentral also lists the same sequence under 1 other name. The record is from Rfam by way of RNAcentral.
AGCUCAGUGGUAGAGCACAUGCCUAGCAUGCAUGAGGUCCUGGGUUCGAUCCCCAG